RNAcentral lists this unclassified non-coding RNA (273 nucleotides) under fungal sp. RNAcentral describes it as "partial internal transcribed spacer region". The stretch from base 1 to 45 matches the Rfam family "Eukaryotic small subunit ribosomal RNA", at positions 1787 to 1831 of the family's 1831-position model. Lineage: Eukaryota; Fungi. The record is from RNAcentral.
AGUCGUAACAAGGUCUCCGUUGGUGAACCAGCGGAGGGAUCAUUAACGAGUUUGCUUUUCUAGCUCGAAACCCACUGUGAACAUACCUCUUAUACCGUUGCUUCGGCGGACUGUCGUCCUACAUGCCUCUCUAGCCUUUUCUGGCUAGGGCAGACCUGUAGGCUUCGCCGCCGUUGGGACGCAAACCUAAACUCUUUUACAUGCUACACUAUAAGUAUUAUCUGAGUCGAUAUUUAAUUAUCAAAACUUUCAGCAACGGAUCUCUUGGUUCUG